CCCAUGUCCCCAACCCUCAGGCCAGACCAGCAUUCACAAAUGCUUAUGGAGUGAACGCUUGAACAAGAUGCAGGGCUGGCCAUCUGAUUCAGACUUGGGGUGCUUGGAAUUGUUAACAUUGGGAGAUGUGGCUGUCACCUCCAAGGAGACCCAGGUGCCCUUCUCAGCAGGAUCUGUGCAGGGAUGUGCUGCCGGACAACCAGAGGAACCUGGCCUGCCUGGGAUUUGUAAUUUCCAAACCAGAUAUGAUAUACCAAUAGGAACAAGGAAUAAAACUUGGGAUGCCAAAGGGAGAUGUCUGAAGAAGCACCUGUCCAUGUAAAUAAGUGAAAACCAGAUGGGAAAAGGUUGGGACAGUAGGUCUGAAAUCAAACAGACAAUCCCAAAGCUGGACAUUUCUUUGGAGGAAUUAUGCCAGGCAAGUCUUAUAAGGGAUGGUAUCUUGGACCGUGAGUUGAGUCAAAUCUGGAAUUGUGGCACCCAGCUAGUGAGGAAAUAAUAAUGAAUGUAAUGAAUGUGGCAAGACUUUCAGCCAGGAGACAUAUCUUACUCAGUACAGGAAAAUCCGUAUGGGAGAGAAACUUCAUGAAUGAUUAGACUGUGGGAAGGCCUUCUGCUGGAAGAUAGACCUCAUUUGACAUCAGAUGAUCCAUACUGUGAAAUAUCCUAAGAAUGUAAUGACUAUGGGAAGACUUUCUGCCUGACUACAGCUCUUAAUUUACAUUGAAGAAUUCAUAUUGGAGGAAAAUCUUAUUAGUGUAAUGAAUGUUGUAAGGCCUUGUGCCUGAUCAAAGAACUUACUCAAAAAUCAAAAGAUUCAUACUGGAGACAAACCUUCUAAGUGCAA
Sarcophilus harrisii (Tasmanian devil) is the source of this 847-nucleotide long non-coding RNA. RefSeq lists it as uncharacterized. The record is from RefSeq and is a predicted model, not a curated record. The transcript has 4 exons. Lineage: Eukaryota; Metazoa; Chordata; Mammalia; Dasyuromorphia; Dasyuridae.